ACUUACGUAGCUUAUAUGCAGAGCAUGAUAUUGAAGAUAUCAAGGAAGUAUUAAUACUUGUAAGUA
RNAcentral lists this transfer RNA (66 nucleotides) under Amphimallon solstitiale. Its description in RNAcentral is "tRNA-Phe". The record is from RNAcentral. Lineage: Eukaryota; Metazoa; Arthropoda; Insecta; Coleoptera; Scarabaeidae.